AUGACGAUGGCCAGUUGGUUGAGCGUCCCCAAGGCGCCCCGCAAGUGAGUGGGGGCGAUCUCCCCCACGUACAUGGGCACCAGCCCCGACGUGAGCCCUGGGCAGAGGGAAGAAGACAGGGCUGAGGGCAGCUGGCCACUGCCCCCUGCAGGUUCAGUGAUGGUGAACGGACAAGAUAGCAGGGCACGGGGCAGGGCCGUGGCGCCCGUCGGUACCUGAGUAGGCGCCAAUGAGGAACCGUCCGAGAAUGAGCAUCUCGUAGGACGCAGCGGCAUUGGCCAGGCCCAUGAGGGUGCCCCCCAGCACCGCCAGGAUGUUGUUGACCAGCAUGGCCCUCUUCCUGACGGGCAAAGAGUGGGGCUGGAAGUUAGGGUGCCAUGCUGUGACCCCUGGUCCUGUCCCUCACCCCUGCCCUCCAGGCCCAUACCUUCCCAGCCACUGAGAGACGACACCAAUGAGGAAAGAGGAGAUCAUGCCGCCCACAGAAAAGAUGGCCACGGACAGAGCCCAGAGGGUGGUGAGGGUGCCUGGCGGGAUGGAGCUGGGUCCCUCCGGCCCCUGCCUCCCCAGCCACGUCUCAUUGUAGCUCUGUUCAAUCACCUGGGGGGACAGCGUAAGAGUGACUGCCUGCAGAGGCGUCUCCCUCUGCUGUCCCUUGCUGUCCCCUGCCCUCCUUGUUUAGACAGUCCACACCCUGCCAGCCACAGACCCCUCACCUUCUGCGGGGCAUUGAUGACCCCAAUGUUAUAGCCAAACUGGAGGGAGCCAAGCACAGCAGAGAACACGGCGAGGACCAGGGUCCCAGUUACUCGCUGCCGUGGGGGCUCCCCGUCCUGGGUAGGCAGAAGAAGAGACGAGGCAUGUCACACAGAAUCAUGCUUCCUUUCUUUCCUCCAGGGGCCCGGGCCCAGCCGGAGCUUUAAGAUGCUGGGUUCUAUCCAACAUGUUGGGUGAGGGAAACUGGGCCAUAUUAGGAAUAGAGCAAAGAUCUCAGUGUAAACAGUAGUAGGAAGAACCCAACAGUGAUCAGCCAUGAAAAAGAAAAAAAAACAAAACAAAACAAAAAACCAAAACUGGGUCUUUGGGUCCAGCAAGCUGAGAAAUGUUUGAGGACCUCGGGCCUCACCAUUCCUCUGUGACCUUGGGACAGGCUUGGCCUUAAGACUUGAG
This 1170-nucleotide long non-coding RNA is filed under the name Lynx pardinus (Iberian lynx). Lineage: Eukaryota; Metazoa; Chordata; Mammalia; Carnivora; Felidae. The record is from RNAcentral.